CACCUGGGAAGUCCUCGUGUUGCACCCC
This 28-nucleotide ribosomal RNA is filed under the name Platanus mexicana var. mexicana. The record is from RNAcentral. Lineage: Eukaryota; Viridiplantae; Streptophyta; Magnoliopsida; Proteales; Platanaceae. RNAcentral also lists the same sequence under 1 other name.